GCGCUUGUAGCUCAGGGGAUAGAGCAACGGAUUCCUAAUCCGUGUGCCGCAGGUUCGAUUCCUGCCAGGCGCACCA
This 76-nucleotide transfer RNA is filed under the name Bacillota bacterium. Its description in RNAcentral is "tRNA-Arg". It matches the Rfam family "tRNA". Rfam says of the family: Transfer RNA (tRNA) molecules are approximately 80 nucleotides in length. The record is from RNAcentral. Lineage: Bacteria; Bacillati; Bacillota.